This 782-nucleotide ribosomal RNA is filed under the name uncultured bacterium. RNAcentral describes it as "bacterial SSU rRNA". It matches the Rfam family "Bacterial small subunit ribosomal RNA", at positions 8 to 796 of the family's 1533-position model. The record is from RNAcentral.
AGAGUUUGAUCCUGGCUCAGAACGAACGUUGGCGGCGUGGAUUAGGCAUGCAAGUCGAACGAAUCCCGGAGGGCUUGCUCUCCGGGGGAAGUGGCGAAAGGGGCAGUAAGGCAUGGGUAACCUGCCCCGGGGACCGGCAUAGCCCUCCUAACGGAGGGGUAAUUCCGGGUACGCUCGUCGGAGGGCAUCCUUUGACGAGGAGAAGAGUUUCGCCCCGGGAUAGGCUCAUGUGGUAUUAGCUUGUUGGCGGGGUAACGGCCCACCAAGGCCAAGAUGCCUAGCAGGUGUGAGAGCACGACCUGCGCCACUGGCACUGAGACACUGGCCAGACUCCUACGGGAGGCUGCAGUCGAGGAUCUUCGGCAAUGGGCGCAAGCCUGACCGAGCGACGCCGCGUGUGCGAUGAAGGCCUUCGGGUUGUAAAGCACUGUCGAGGGGGAGGAAAGCCGCAAGGUCUGACCUAUCCCUGGAGGAAGCACGGGCUAAGUUCGUGCCAGCAGCCGCGGUAAGACGAACCGUGCGAACGUUGUUCGGAAUCACUGGGCUUAAAGGGCGCGUAGGCGGCUCAGCCAGUCUCAGGUGAAAUCUUUCGGCUCAACCGGAAAAGUGCCUGAGAUACUGCUGGGCUCGAGCGAGGUAGGGGCAGGGGGAACUUCCGGUGGAGCGGUGAAAUGCGUUGAUAUCGGAAGGAACGCCGGUGGCGAAAGCGCCCUGCUGGACCUCACCUGACGCUGAGGCGCGAAAGCCAGGGGAGCAAACGGGAUUAGAUACCCCCGUAGUCC